GCUCUACACAUUCAGGCUAUUCUGGGAAGAAACCUUGUGUUGCUACACAGACACAGAAGACCAGGCAGGGUCCCCUGGAAGAACGGGCACUCACUUACAGCUUCCGAUCUAUCAGGGUGAAGGCUGGAAGCUCUCAUGGUCUUCCAGACCUGCCACUGCUUUUGCCAUGAUAUGCUCACCAAGGCUCAUGUAUCUGACACUUGCUCUUAAGCACGGUGGUUUGAGGUCCUCCGGAGGUGGAAGUCUGAAUAAGACCAGGUCCUCUCUACCUCUUGGCUUCCUGCCUCACCAUGGCAACUCUUCCUCUCAUUUGCAGUUUCAUCAUUGGGUGACACAAAGGACCUUCAUGAGACACUAUGUCCCUUGAUACCCCAGACUAUGAGCUAAAUAAACCUCUUUUCUUUAUAAUGU
RNAcentral lists this long non-coding RNA (411 nucleotides) under Mus caroli (Ryukyu mouse). RNAcentral's name for it is "lncRNA (MGP_CAROLIEiJ_G0005165.1)". The record is from RNAcentral. Lineage: Eukaryota; Metazoa; Chordata; Mammalia; Rodentia; Muridae.